This 427-nucleotide ribosomal RNA is filed under the name uncultured bacterium. Its description in RNAcentral is "bacterial SSU rRNA". It matches the Rfam family "Bacterial small subunit ribosomal RNA", at positions 355 to 774 of the family's 1533-position model. The record is from RNAcentral.
UGGGGAAUUUUGCGCAAUGGGCGAAAGCCUGACGCAGCAACGCCGCGUGGGUGAUGAAGGUCUUCGGAUCGUAAAACCCUGUCGUCAGGGACGAAGGUUCUGGGGUGAACAGCCCCAGGAUUUGACGGUACCUGGAGAGGAAGCCCCGGCUAACUCUGUGCCAGCAGCCGCGGUAAUACAGAGGGGGCAAGCGUUAUUCGGAAUUACUGGGCGUAAAGCGCACGUAGGCGGACCGAUAAGUCGGGGGUGAAAUCCUGGAGCUCAACUCCAGAACUGCCUUCGAAACUGCCGCUCUUGAGUUCGGGAGAGGUGAGUGGAACUGCGAGUGUAGAGGUGAAAUUCGUAGAUAUUCGCAAGAACACCAGUGGCGAAGGCGGCUCACUGGCCCGAUACUGACGCUGAGGUGCGAAAGCGUGGGGAGCAAACA